This 1119-nucleotide long non-coding RNA is filed under the name Homo sapiens (human). RNAcentral's name for it is "NCK1 divergent transcript, transcript variant 2 (NCK1-DT)". Lineage: Eukaryota; Metazoa; Chordata; Mammalia; Primates; Hominidae. The record is from RNAcentral.
UGAUGUGGAGGGAGCGGAGGCUGCGCGGCGGAGAGUAGAGAGCUAGAGGGUGAGAAGCGCUGGGCCGGACCAGAACUGUCUUAGCUUUUCCCUCUGCGGCUGCUCUGGUUGGUUACUUUGAGCCUGCCUCCUCAGCGCCGCAGGAGAGACUUAACAGCAAAAAUGACUGUGUCCUGAGUUCAGCCCCCACUGCUCUGGGAGCUUCCCCCUGGUUUCUGCACCUGAAGAAUGUCAUCCCAGCCGAAGGUUCUUAGGAGCGGGGAGCGACAAAGAAAAACAAAGAAAAGCAGACCUGAAAAUUGGGACCUGGGAGAAAUGUAAGACAUGUGCUUAAUUUGAGGCACAGACCAAAAGAAGCUGAGUCUGAGGGCCCUCUAAAAGUGUCCUCGUGCUUGGGCAGCUUACAUUCUUGGCGGCAGUAGUGUUAUGAAGAGGACCUUCGGAGCCAGAGACGAGUGCUCUAAACCAGUAUCAUGGCUCCAGUUCCUCUGACAAGGAUUCACAUGGGGUUGCAAUUCUGACUGUGCUGGUGAUGCUGGUUCCAGGUCCCUCAGGAACCCCUCCCCCAGUCUGGUCUGCCCUUGAACUCUAUACUGGCCCCAGGGUAUCCCAGGAUUGUCAGAAAGGCCUGGCCAGGAUUCACCUGGGAGAGGGAUCAGCAUCUCUGCAAAGUUGUUGGAUUGAAAGAACUUUCAUUUUGAGCUACAUCAUUGAAGAGCUUUAAAUCUGAAAAUAAGAAAGACGUUGAACCCUAUUACUCACAUCUCUUUGUCAUUUGAAGCAGAUCCCGAACCACUCAAAAGGACAAAACAAGGAAAUAGCAAUGAAAUUGGAUUCAGUGAAUGGGGUAAGGGUAUUAAGUGUCUGAAAUAUAAGAGAUAAAAAAAUUAGUUUUUACCUUUUUUUCUAUUUUCUAAAUGUUUUGGUGGCUAGAAUAAGAUAUACUUUGAACUCAAGAGCAAUAAAUGUUAAUAUAUUAAAAGUAGCUUUAUGAAAUAUGGAAAGUAUCUUUAUUUCAAAAUACUUCAAAGUAAUCAUCUGAAUAUUUAUCAGAAAUAUUAAGACAACUUAUUAAAUCCUGUAUUAAAAUGAUUGCUUAUUAAAAAAAAAAAAAAAAAA